CGCGGCGGACGGGUUAGUAACGCGUGGGAACGUGCCCUUUAGUGCGGAAUAGCCAUUGGAAACGAUGAUUAAUACCGUAUACGCCCUAUUGGGGAAAGAUUUAUCGCUAAAGGAUCGGCCCGCGUUAGAUUAGGUAGUUGGUGGGGUAAUGGCCUACCAAGCCUACGAUCUAUAGCUGGUUUGAGAGGAUGAUCAGCAACACUGGGACUGAGACACGGCCCAGACUUCUACGGAAGGCAGCAGUAGGGAAUCUUGGACAAUGGGCGAAAGCCUGAUCCAGCCAUGCCGCGUGAGUGAUGAAGGCCCUAGGGUUGUAAAACUCUUUCGCCAGGGAAGAUAAUGACGGUACCUGGUAAAGAAACCCCGGCUAACUCCGUGCCAGCAGCCGCGGUAAUACGGAGGGGGUUAGCGUUGUUCAGAAUUACUGGGCGUAAAGCGCACGUAGGCGGACUAGUCAGUCAGAGGUGAAAUCCCGAGGCUUAACCUCGGAACUGCCUUUGAUACUGCUAGUCUAGAGUUCGAGAGAGGUGAGUGGAAUUCCGAGUGUAGAGGUGAAAUUCGUAGAUAUUCGGAGGAACACCAGUGGCGAAGGCGGCUCACUGGAUCGAUACUGA
Molecule: ribosomal RNA, 614 nt
Filed under: uncultured bacterium
Lineage: Bacteria
Description: bacterial SSU rRNA
Rfam family: Bacterial small subunit ribosomal RNA
Source: RNAcentral